CAGCUUUGCAUGACAUUCUUCUGGACGUGUUUCAUUGUGAUGAUAGUGAGGGUGAGUCAGUCUGUUUUUUGGCAAGACAGUAGUUGAGUGAUUACUGAGAGAAAAUGAUUCUAAGUGUUUCAAGUGUUGUUACUGACCUUUUUCUCUUUUAUUUUCUUUGCCUCACCUGUAACUCUGCUGAGACCUUGAGGAACAUGCACACUGGACUGACCUGCUCUGGCAACCUGAUUUCCACUCUCCAUCCAUCACCAUUCUCUGUUCCUGCAGACGAGCAGACAGGGAGCCAGAUGACAACGCAAGAAUAUGCAGCUGCCAUUUUCCACAUGGAAAAGAGAAAGGGCCAUGUUUAUUUGAGUGGACAAAAAAGAAAGUGAGCUUACCUGUAAAUCAGUCCACCGAC
Molecule: long non-coding RNA, 400 nt
Organism: Trematomus bernacchii (emerald rockcod)
Lineage: Eukaryota; Metazoa; Chordata; Actinopteri; Perciformes; Nototheniidae
Exons: 3
Source: RefSeq, a predicted model, not a curated record